This 106-nucleotide transfer RNA is filed under the name Paraburkholderia sprentiae WSM5005. RNAcentral's name for it is "tRNA-Lys". Lineage: Bacteria; Pseudomonadati; Pseudomonadota; Betaproteobacteria; Burkholderiales; Burkholderiaceae. The record is from RNAcentral.
GGGGCGGGCUAGCAUGCUCGGUGUGUCGAUCACUGUCGACCCGUGUCGCGCUGGCAAGGGACUCUUAAUCCGUAGGUCGAGUGUUCGAGUCACUCACGCCCCACCA